RNAcentral lists this ribosomal RNA (253 nucleotides) under uncultured bacterium. RNAcentral describes it as "partial 16S ribosomal RNA". It matches the Rfam family "Bacterial small subunit ribosomal RNA", at positions 524 to 776 of the family's 1533-position model. The record is from RNAcentral.
UACGUAGGUGGCAAGCGUUGUCCGGAUUUACUGGGCGUAAAGAGCGCGCAGGCGGUCGUUCAAGUCGCGUGUGAAAGCCCCCGGCUCAACUGGGGAGGGUCACGCGAUACUGAUCGACUCGAAGGCAGGAGAGGGUAGUGGAAUUCCCGGUGUAGUGGUGAAAUGCGUAGAUAUCGGGAGGAACACCUGUGGCGAAGGCGAUCUUCUGGACCAUUUCUGACGCUCAGACGCGACAGCUAGGGUAGCAAACGGG